UGAGUACGAGAUGCUACGGCAUCGAAGCAGUCUAUGUCAUACUUCCAAGAAAAGCUUGCACUGUCAGAAACAGAUAAUGCCUGUACCAUAACCGACACAGGUGGGUAGGUAGAGUAUACUAAGGGGCGCGAGAUAACUCUCUCUAAGGAACUCGGCAAAAUGACUCCGUAACUUCGGGAGAAGGAGUGCCUUAUUUUUAAGGUUGCAAUAACAAGAUCCAAGCAACUGUUUACCAAAAACACAGGUCUCCGCUAAGUCGUAAGACGAUGUAUGGGGGCUGACGCCUGCCCAGUGCCAGAAGGUUAAAGAAGUCGGUUAGCAUUCGCGAAGCUGGUAACUGAAGCCCUGGUGAACGGCGGCCGUAACUAUAACGGUCCUAAGGUAGCGAAAUUCCUUGUCGGGUAAGUUCCGACCCGCACGAAAGGCGUAAUGAUUUGGAUACUGUCUCGGAGAGGGGCUCGGUGAAAUAGACUUGUCUGUGAAGAUGCGGACUACCUGCACCUGGACAGAAAGACCCUAUGAAGCUUUACUGUAACUUGAAAUUGAAAUUGGACUUUAUUUGCGCAGUAUAGGUGGGAGGCGUUGAAAAUAUUCUUGCGGGAAUAUUGGAGCCAUCAGUGAGAUACCACUCUUGUAAUGUUAGAUUUCUAACUUUAUAUCAUUAUCUGGUUAAAGAACAGUUUCAGGCGGGCAGUUUGACUGGGGCGGUCGCCUCCCAAAUGGUAACGGAGGCGCACGAAGGUUUCCUCUGAACGGGUAGAAAUCGUAUCUAGAGUGUAAAGGCAUAAGGAAGCUUGACUGUGAGACCUACAAGUCGAGCAGGGACGAAAGUCGGUCUUAGUGAUCUGACGGUGCUGAGUGGAAAGGCCGUCACUCAACGGAUAAAAGUUACUCUAGGAUAACAGGCUGAUCUCCCCCAAGAGUUCACAUCGACGGGGAGGUUUGGCACCUCGAUGUCGGCUCAUCGCAUCCUGUGGCGGUAGUACGUCCCAAGGGUUGGGCUGUUCGCCCAUGAAAGCGGUACGCGAGCUGGGUUCAGAACGUCGUGAGACAGUUCGGUCCAUAUCCGGUGUAGGCGUUAGAAUAUUGAGAGGAGCCUUCUUUAGUACGAGAGGACCGAGAAGGACAUACCUCUGGUGUACCAGUUAUCGUGCCAACGGUAAACGCUGGGUAGCUAUGUAUGGAGUGGAUAACCGCUGAAAGCAUCUAAGUGGGAAGCCCACCUCAAGAUAAGUAUUCUC
This 1241-nucleotide ribosomal RNA is filed under the name metagenome. Its description in RNAcentral is "bacterial LSU rRNA". It matches the Rfam family "Bacterial large subunit ribosomal RNA", at positions 1564 to 2815 of the family's 2925-position model. The record is from RNAcentral.